Molecule: ribosomal RNA, 245 nt
Filed under: uncultured bacterium
Lineage: Bacteria
Description: partial 16S ribosomal RNA
Rfam family: Bacterial small subunit ribosomal RNA
Source: RNAcentral
UACGAAGGGGGCUAGCGUUGUUCGGAAUCACUGGGCGUAAAGGGCGCGUAGGCGGCUUUAUAAGUCGGGGGUGAAAGCCUGUGGCUCAACCACAGAAUUGCCUUCGAUACUGUAGAGCUUGAGACCGGAAGAGGUAAGUGGAACUGCGAGUGUAGAGGUGAAAUUCGUAGAUAUUCGCAAGAACACCAGUGGCGAAGGCGGCUUACUGGUCCGGUUCUGGACGCUGAGGCGCGAAAGCGGUGGGG